GGGAGGUAGUGACAAUAAAUAACAAUACGGGGUUCUUUCGGAUUUCGUAAUUGGAAUGAGUACAAUUUAAAUCUCUUAACGAGGAACAAUUGGAGGGCAAGUCUGGUGCCAGCAGCCGCGGUAAUUCCAGCUUCAAUAGCGUAUAUUAAAGUUGUUGCAGUUAAAAAGCUCGUAGUUGAAUUUCGGGAUCAUCAGGUUGGUCGUGCCUCUGGUAUGUACUUUCCUCGAUGGUUCCUCCUUCUUGAAGAACCGUAAUGCCAUUAAUUUGGUGUUGCGGGGAAUCAGGACUGUUACUUUGAAAAAUUAGAGUGUUUAAAGCAGGCAAUCGCUUGAAUACAUUAGCAUGGAAUAAUGAAAUAGGACGUUCGAUCCUAUUUUGUUGGUUUCUAGGAUUGACGUAAUGAUUAAUAGGGAUAGUUGGG
Molecule: ribosomal RNA, 422 nt
Filed under: uncultured Glomeraceae
Lineage: Eukaryota; Fungi; Glomeromycota; Glomeromycetes; Glomerales; Glomeraceae
Description: SSU rRNA
Rfam family: Eukaryotic small subunit ribosomal RNA
Source: RNAcentral